Molecule: ribosomal RNA, 1337 nt
Filed under: uncultured bacterium
Lineage: Bacteria
Description: bacterial SSU rRNA
Rfam family: Bacterial small subunit ribosomal RNA
Source: RNAcentral
GACGAACGCCGUCGGCGUGCUUAACACAUGCAAGUCGAACGGAAAGGCCCUUCGGGGUACUCGAGUGGCGAACGGGUGAGUAACACGUGGGUGAUCUGCCCUGCACUUUGGGAUAAGCCUGGGAAACUGGGUCUAAUACCGAAUAGGACCACGCGCUUCAUGGUGUGUGGUGGAAAGCUUUUGCGGUGUGGGAUGGGCCCGCGGCCUAUCAGCUUGUUGGUGGGGUAAUGGCCUACCAAGGCGACGACGGGUAGCCGGCCUGAGAGGGUGACCGGCCACACUGGGACUGAGAUACGGCCCAGACUCCUACGGGAGGCAGCAGUGGGGAAUAUUGCACAAUGGGCGCAAGCCUGAUGCAGCGACGCCGCGUGAGGGAUGACGGCCUUCGGGUUGUAAACCUCUUUCAAUAGGGACGAAGCGCAAGUGACGGUACCUAUAGAAGAAGCACCGGCCAACUACGUGCCAGCAGCCGCGGUAAUACGUAGGGUGCGAGCGUUGUCCGGAAUUACUGGGCGUAAAGAGCUCGUAGGUGGUUUGUCGCGUUGUUCGUGAAAACUCACAGCUUAACUGUGGGCGUGCGGGCGAUACGGGCAGACUAGAGUACUGCAGGGGAGACUGGAAUUCCUGGUGUAGCGGUGGAAUGCGCAGAUAUCAGGAGGAACACCGGUGGCGAAGGCGGGUCUCUGGGCAGUAACUGACGCUGAGGAGCGAAAGCGUGGGGAGCGAACAGGAUUAGAUACCCUGGUAGUCCACGCCGUAAACGGUGGGUACUAGGUGUGGGUUCCUUCCUUGGGAUCCGUGCCGUAGCUAACGCAUUAAGUACCCCGCCUGGGGAGUACGGCCGCAAGGCUAAAACUCAAAGGAAUUGACGGGGGCCCGCACAAGCGGCGGAGCAUGUGGAUUAAUUCGAUGCAACGCGAAGAACCUUACCUGGGUUUGACAUGCACAGGACGCCGGCAGAGAUGUCGGUUCCCUUGUGGCCUGUGUGCAGGUGGUGCAUGGCUGUCGUCAGCUCGUGUCGUGAGAUGUUGGGUUAAGUCCCGCAACGAGCGCAACCCUUGUCCUAUGUUGCCAGCGGGUUAUGCCGGGGACUCGUAGGAGACUGCCGGGGUCAACUCGGAGGAAGGUGGGGAUGACGUCAAGUCAUCAUGCCCCUUAUGUCCAGGGCUUCACACAUGCUACAAUGGCCGGUACAAAGGGCUGCGAUGCCGUGAGGUGGAGCGAAUCCUUUCAAAGCCGGUCUCAGUUCGGAUCGGGGUCUGCAACUCGACCCCGUGAAGUCGGAGUCGCUAGUAAUCGCAGAUCAGCAACGCUGCGGUGAAUACGUUCCCGGGCCU